Molecule: transfer RNA, 63 nt
Filed under: Neocrepidodera brevicollis
Lineage: Eukaryota; Metazoa; Arthropoda; Insecta; Coleoptera; Chrysomelidae
Description: tRNA-His
Source: RNAcentral
ACUUAAAUAGUUUAAUUAAAAUAUUGAUUUGUGGUGUCAAAGAUAUGGGUUUUAUUUUAAGUU